This 453-nucleotide long non-coding RNA is filed under the name Anas platyrhynchos platyrhynchos (common mallard). RNAcentral describes it as "lncRNA (ENSAPLG00000022566.1)". The record is from RNAcentral. Lineage: Eukaryota; Metazoa; Chordata; Aves; Anseriformes; Anatidae.
AUAAAUAUUAGAAUCGGGAGAACAAAUAGUAAAAAACAGUCUUCCAUUUCUUUAUAGUGAAGGAGUUGAACUGAUUAUACUGCACAUUUUGCUUCUUCAGAUUGGUGCUCCAAAUCUUUUUGCAUCUUGUAUUAGAGACAGAAGCAAGCCAGACAGCAUUAAAAAGAUCUCUUCUAGUAAUAUAUGCUUCAUCUAUGAAGACAAUGACCUUGACCAACAGUGACAGACCAGAUAUUCUCCAUCUGAGUCAAGUAGAAGAGUAAAGCUGAUCCUGUGAGUAUCCUGUGAGCAAAGUACAGUCUUAGUCUAGUGUACAGUGACACGAGAUUUGUUUCAUUUCCUGUCUAAUUCUGUGCUACCAAGUUCUCUAGAAAUGUGUCAAAUCACGUGAUUUAUGUCCCUAAAUUAUAUUUCUUUUGCUCUGAAUUGUAUACUACUGAGACUGAAUUGUCA